This 425-nucleotide ribosomal RNA is filed under the name uncultured bacterium. Its description in RNAcentral is "bacterial SSU rRNA". It matches the Rfam family "Bacterial small subunit ribosomal RNA", at positions 356 to 773 of the family's 1533-position model. The record is from RNAcentral.
GGGGAAUUUUGGACAAUGGGCGAAAGCCUGAUCCAGCCAUGCCGCGUGUAUGAAGAAGGCCUUCGGGUUGUAAAGUACUUUUGUUAGGGAAGGAAAGCUUAUUGCUAAUAUCAGUGAGCCAUGACGGUACCUAAAGAAUAAGCACCGGCUAACUACGUGCCAGCAGCCGCGGUAAUACGUAGGGUGCAAGCGUUAAUCGGAAUUACUGGGCGUAAAGCGAGCGCCGGCGGUUAUUUAAGUCAGGUGUGAAAGCCCCGAGCUCAACUUGGGACGUGCAUUUGAAACUGGAUAACUAGAGUGUGUCAGAGGGGGGUAGAAUUCCACGUGUAGCAGUGAAAUGCGUAGAGAUGUGGAGGAAUACCGAUGGCGAAGGCAGCCCCCUGGGAUAACACUGACGCUCAUGCUCGAAAGCGUGGGUAGCAAAC